This 484-nucleotide ribosomal RNA is filed under the name uncultured bacterium. RNAcentral describes it as "partial 16S ribosomal RNA". It matches the Rfam family "Bacterial small subunit ribosomal RNA", at positions 30 to 507 of the family's 1533-position model. The record is from RNAcentral.
AUUGAACGCUGGCGGCAGGCCUAACACAUGCAAGUCGAGCGGAUGAAGGGAGCUUGCUCCUGGAUUCAGCGGCGGACGGGUGAGUAAUGCCUAGGAAUCUGCCUUGUAGUGGGGGAUAACGUCCGGAAACGGGCGCUAAUACCGCAUACGUCCUGAGGGAGAAAGUGGGGGAUCUUCGGACCUCACGCUAUCAGAUGAGCCUAGGUCGGAUUAGCUAGUUGGUGGGGUAACGGCCUACCAAGGCGACGAUCCGUAACUGGUCUGAGAGGAUGAUCAGUCACACUGGAACUGAGACACGGUCCAGACUCCUACGGGAGGCAGCAGUGGGGAAUAUUGGACGAAGGGCGAAAGCCUGAUCCAGGCAUGCCGCGUGUGUGAAGAAGGUCUUCGGAUUGUAAAGCAAUUUAAGUUGGGAGGAAGGGCAGUAAGUUAAUACCUUGCUGUUUUGACGUUACCAACAGAAUAAGCACCGGCUAACUUCGUG